UUCAGCUUUUAAAUAGCUUUACAUCUUACUA
RNAcentral lists this non-coding RNA (31 nucleotides) under Mus musculus (house mouse). The record is from RNAcentral. Lineage: Eukaryota; Metazoa; Chordata; Mammalia; Rodentia; Muridae.